RNAcentral lists this ribosomal RNA (253 nucleotides) under uncultured bacterium. Its description in RNAcentral is "partial 16S ribosomal RNA". It matches the Rfam family "Bacterial small subunit ribosomal RNA", at positions 524 to 776 of the family's 1533-position model. The record is from RNAcentral.
UACGUAGGGAGCAAGCGUCGUUCGGAUUUACUGGGCGUAAAGGGCGCGUAGGCGGCGUGUUAAGUCAGCUGUGAAAUCUCCAAGCUCAACUUGGAACGGCCAGCUGAUACUGAUGUGCUAGAGUGCAGAAGGGGCAAUCGGAAUUCUUGGUGUAGCGGUGAAAUGCGUAGAUAUCAAGAGGAACACCUGAGGUGAAGACGGGUUGCUGGGCUGACACUGACGCUGAGGCGCGAAAGCCAGGGGAGCAAACGGG